ACUCCUACGGGAGGCAGCAGUGGGGAAUAUUGCACAAUGGGCGCAAGCCUGAUGCAGCCAUGCCGCGUGUGUGAAGAAGGCCUUCGGGUUGUAAAGCACUUUCAGUUGUGAGGAAGGUGGUGUCGUUAAUAGCGGCAUCAUUUGACGUUAGCAACAGAAGAAGCACCGGCUAACUCCGUGCCAGCAGCCGCGGUAAUACGGAGGGUGCGAGCGUUAAUCGGAAUUACUGGGCGUAAAGCGCAUGCAGGUGGUUUGUUAAGUCAGAUGUGAAAGCCCGGGGCUCAACCUCGGAACUGCAUUUGAAACUGGCAGACUAGAGUACUGUAGAGGGGGGUAGAAUUUCAGGUGUAGCGGUGAAAUGCGUAGAGAUCUGAAGGAAUACCGGUGGCGAAGGCGGCCCCCUGGACAGAUACUGACACUCAGAUGCGAAAGCGUGGGGAGCAAACAGGAUUAGAUACCC
RNAcentral lists this ribosomal RNA (460 nucleotides) under uncultured bacterium. RNAcentral's name for it is "bacterial SSU rRNA". It matches the Rfam family "Bacterial small subunit ribosomal RNA", at positions 335 to 787 of the family's 1533-position model. The record is from RNAcentral.